CGUAUUAUCAGGAUAACAUGAUA
RNAcentral lists this non-coding RNA (23 nucleotides) under Arabidopsis thaliana (thale cress). Lineage: Eukaryota; Viridiplantae; Streptophyta; Magnoliopsida; Brassicales; Brassicaceae. The record is from RNAcentral.